This 2910-nucleotide ribosomal RNA is filed under the name Triticum aestivum (bread wheat). RNAcentral describes it as "partial small subunit ribosomal RNA". The record is from RNAcentral. Lineage: Eukaryota; Viridiplantae; Streptophyta; Magnoliopsida; Poales; Poaceae.
AUGCCAGGAUCACAAGCCGACGAGAUUGACUGGGAGAAUUUAUCGAACAAGGAGCUUCAUGAUAAGUUUCAGCAAAUGAUGACUGAACAGGUGCAAGAUGUGCUGAACAAUUUUGAAGAGGCCAUGGAGAAGAUCAUUGGCCUUGAGAAGACGUUCGAAACAAAGCUCGAUAACAGAUUUAAUGAAUUGCUCGCGCGUCUUCCACCACCACCACCCGCUGCACCUAACGCACCUCUCCAACAACAACAACAACGACUACCUCCACGUCGCGAAAUAGACCUUCGCCGAGCGAGCCGUGUUCCUCUUGCGUUUGGCCAAACUGUUGGUGCUGCUGUUGAUACUUCUGUGGCUCCUUCUACUGCUGUUGCUGGUACCCAGGAGGAUGAUGAGUAUGCGGGCGAUUAUGAGGAUGAGGUUGAUCAAAAUCAGAUCUACGAGCAGCCACCAGCACCACCACCAGCAGGUCGACCUCAGGUAUAUAUUCGUAAUGGUAGGCCUGCACCACCACCUCAGGUACGAGAUGAUGUCCAUAUUCCUAAACUGAAAUUGAAUAUUCCACCAUUUGAGGGUAGAUAUGUUCCUGAUAUAUAUCUUACUUGGGAGUUAGAAACUGAACAACGAUUUACAUGUUUACAAUAUCCUGAGGAGAGACGAGUUGCUGCUGUUGUUUGUGCUUUCACUAGUUUUGCAUGUGUAUGGUGGUCUGAACAUUGUAGAUUAUAUCCUAUUCCAACUACUUGGGCUGCUUUGAAAACUGCUAUGCGUACGCGUUGGGUUCCACCAUAUUAUCAACGUGAAUUGCUUCAAAAAUUGCAGUGUUUAAGACAAGGAAAAAAUUCUGUAGAAGAAUAUUAUCAGGAAUUACAAACUGGCAUGAUUAGAUGUGGUAUUGUUGAGGAGAAUGAAGCUAUGCUUGCACGUUUUCUGGGUGGAUUAAAUAGAGAGAUUCAGACCAUUCUCGACUAUAAGGAGUAUACUAAUAUCACUCGUUUAUUCCAUCUUGCUUGUAAAGCUGAACGUGAAGUGCAGGAUCGACAAGCAUUGGGGCGAACUAACUUUUCUGCAGGCCGACCUUCAUCAUGGACACCACGUGCAUCUUCUACUUCAACUGCACCAGCACCUCCAUCAGGUGCCACCUCCAGCCGUGAUACAAGAAAACAGACACAACCACCAUUAUCUGCCAAGAGCGCACCUGCGGGGCCUACACAGCGUUCUUCUUCUUCCAUAGCAUCAAUAGGGCACACAAGUGAUAUUAUUUGUCGUCGUUGUAAGGGAGGAGGUCAUUAUGCGAGAGAAUGCAAAUCUCCACGUGUGAUGAUUGCUACCGUGGAUGGUGGAUAUGAGUCCGCUAGUGACUAUGAUGAGGAGACUUUGGCUCUUAUUACACGUGAAGAACAUGGUGGAGAUGAUUCUGAUAAUGAGACGCAAUACAUGGCUCCUGAAGACGCUGACAGGUAUGAAUGUUUAGUUGCUCAACGUGUUUUGAGUGUGGAGAUCACACAAGCUGAGCAAAAUCAGAGGCACAAUUUGUUCCAUACCAAGGGAGUUGUGAAGGAACGUUCUGUGCGCGUCAUCAUAGACGGAGGGAGCUGCAACAACUUGGCUAGCAUGGAGAUGGUCGAGAAGCUUUCUCUCACCACAAGACCACAUCCACAUCCUUACUACAUCCAAUGGUUCAACAACAGCGGCAAGGUUAAGGUAACACGUACUGUUCGUGUGCAUUUUAGUAUAUCUACAUAUGCUGAUUAUGUUGAUUGUGAUGUGGUACCUAUGCAAGCAUGUUCCUUAUUACUUGGUAGACCAUGGCAAUUUGAUAAAAAUUCUGUACACCAUGGUAGAAACAAUCACUAUACUCUUGUUCAUAAGGAUAAAAAUAUUACUUUGCUUCCUAUGACUCCUGAUUCCAUUUUGAAAGAAGAUAUUAAUAGAGCUAAUAAAGCAAAACAGGAGACGAAUAAGAGUGAAAAUCAGAUUGUGGCAAAAGAAUUUGAGCAACAAAUGAAGCCUAAUAAUAAACCAUCUAGUGUUGCUUCUGAAAUUAAAUUGAAAAGUGCAUGUUUAUUUGCCACCAAAUCUGAUAUUGAUGAGCUAGAUUUCAGCAAAUCUGUUUGCUAUGCUUUUGUGUGCAAAGAGGGAUUAUUUUCAUUCGAGGACGUGCCUUCCUCUUUGCCUCCUGCUGUCACUAACAUUUUGCAGGAGUUCGCUGACGUCUUUCCACAAGACGUGCCACCGGGAUUACCGCCUAUUCGAGGGAUUGAGCAUCAGAUUGACUUAAUUCCCGGUGCUUCACUGCCAAACCGUGCACCAUACCGUACCAAUCCAGAGGAGACGAAGGAGAUUAUGCGUCAAGUACAAGAGCUUCUCGACAAAGGUUAUAUACGCGAAUCCCUUAGUCCUUGUGCUGUUCCUAUUAUUCUAGUGCCGAAAAAGAAUGGUACAUCACGUAUGUGUGUUGAUUGUAGAGGCAUUAAUAAUAUUACUAUUCGUUAUCGUCAUCCUAUUCCUAGGCUAGAUGAUAUGCUUGAUGAAUUGAGUGGCUCUACAAUAUUCUCCAAAGUUGAUUUACGUAGUGGAUACCAUCAAAUUUGUAUGAAAUUGGGAGAUGAAUGGAAAACAGCAUUCAAAACUAAGUUUGGAUUAUAUGAGUGGUUAGUCAUGCCUUUUGGGUUAACUAAUGCACCUAGUACUUUCAUGAGAUUAAUGAACGAAGUUUUACGUGCUUUCAUUGGACGAUUUGUGGUAGUUUACUUUGAUGACAUAUUGAUUUAUAGCAGAUCUUUGGAAGAACAUUUGGAACAUUUACGUGCUGUUUUUAUUGCUCUACGUGAUGCACGUUUGUUUGGUAACCUUGGGAAGUGCACCUUUUGCACCGACCGAGUAUCUUUUCUUGGCUAUGUUGUUACUCCAUAG